GACAGAGGGUGCUAGCGUUGUUCGGAAUUACUGGGCGUAAAGGGCGCGUAGGCGGCUUCGCAAGUCGGGUGUGAAAGCCCGGGGCUCAACCCCGGAACGGCACCCGGGACUGCGCGGCUGGAGUCCGGAAGAGGAAGGUGGAAUACCCAGUGUAGAGGUGAAAUUCGUAGAUAUUGGGUGGAACACCAGUGGCGAAGGCGGCCUUCUGGUCCGGAACUGACGCUGAGGCGCGAAAGCGUGGGGAGCAAACAGG
Molecule: ribosomal RNA, 253 nt
Filed under: uncultured bacterium
Lineage: Bacteria
Description: partial 16S ribosomal RNA
Rfam family: Bacterial small subunit ribosomal RNA
Source: RNAcentral